CCUACGGGAGGCAGCAGUGAGGAAUAUUGGUCAAUGGGCGCGAGCCUGAACCAGCCAAGUCGCGUGAGGGAAGACGGUCCUAUGGUUUGUAACUCUCUUUUGUCGGGGAGCAAAAGACGCCACGCGUGGCGUUCCGAGAGUACCCGAAUAAAAAGCAUCGGCUAACUCCGUGCCAACAGCCCCGGUAAUACGGGGGAUGCGAGCGUUAUCCGGAUUUGGUGGGUUUAAGGGGUGCGCAGGCGGAAGACCCAGGCAGCGGUAAAAGUGAGAGGUGCACCCUCUUUGAGCCGUUGAAACUGGUUUUCUUGAGUGAGUGAGAAGUAUGCGGAAUGCGUGGUGUAGCGGUGAAAUGCAUAGAUAUCACGCAGAACUCCGAUUGCGAAGGCAGCAUACCGGCGCUCAACUGACGCUCAUGCACGAAAGUGUGGGUAUCGAACAGGAUUAGAUACCCGGGUAGUC
RNAcentral lists this ribosomal RNA (459 nucleotides) under uncultured bacterium. RNAcentral describes it as "partial 16S ribosomal RNA". It matches the Rfam family "Bacterial small subunit ribosomal RNA", at positions 338 to 795 of the family's 1533-position model. The record is from RNAcentral.